This 84-nucleotide transfer RNA is filed under the name Canis lupus familiaris (dog). It matches the Rfam family "tRNA". From Rfam's summary of the family: Transfer RNA (tRNA) molecules are approximately 80 nucleotides in length. Their secondary structure includes four short double-helical elements and three loops (D, anti-codon, and T loops). RNAcentral also lists the same sequence under 2 other names. Lineage: Eukaryota; Metazoa; Chordata; Mammalia; Carnivora; Canidae. The record is from Rfam by way of RNAcentral.
GCCUGGGUGGCUCAGUUGGUAGAGUGCCUGCCUUCUGCUCAGGUCAUGAUCUCAGGGUCCUGGGUUUGAGCCCCACAUCAGGCU